CGGCGGACGGGUGAGUAACGCGUGGGAACGUACCCUUUUCUGCAGGAUAGCCACUGGAAACGGUGAGUAAUACUGCAUACGCCCUUCGGGGGAAAGAUUUAUCGGAGAAGGAUCGGCCCGCGUUAGAUUAGGUAGUUGGUGGGGUAAUGGCCUACCAAGCCUACGAUCUAUAGCUGGUUUGAGAGGAUGAUCAGCCACACUGGGACUGAGACACGGCCCAGACUCCUACGGGAGGCAGCAGUGGGGAAUCUUAGACAAUGGGGGCAACCCUGAUCUAGCCAUGCCGCGUGAGUGAUGAAGGCCUUAGGGUCGUAAAGCUCUUUCGCUGGGGAAGAUAAUGACGGUACCCAGUAAAGAAACCCCGGCUAACUCCGUGCCAGCAGCCGCGGUAAUACGGAGGGGGUUAGCGUUGUUCGGAAUUACUGGGCGUAAAGCGCGCGUAGGCGGAUCAGAAAGUUGGGGGUGAAAUCCCGGGGCUCAACCUCGGAACUGCCUCCAAAACUCCUGGUCUUGAGUUUCGAGAGAGGUGAGUGGAACUCCGAGUGUAGAGGUGAAAUUCGUUAGAUAUUCGGAAGAACACCAGUGGCGAAGGCGGCUCA
RNAcentral lists this ribosomal RNA (599 nucleotides) under Salipiger bermudensis. RNAcentral's name for it is "bacterial SSU rRNA". It matches the Rfam family "Bacterial small subunit ribosomal RNA", at positions 96 to 728 of the family's 1533-position model. The record is from RNAcentral. Lineage: Bacteria; Pseudomonadati; Pseudomonadota; Alphaproteobacteria; Rhodobacterales; Roseobacteraceae.